Molecule: microRNA precursor, 93 nt
Filed under: Choloepus hoffmanni (Hoffmann's two-fingered sloth)
Lineage: Eukaryota; Metazoa; Chordata; Mammalia; Pilosa; Megalonychidae
Description: miRNA (ENSCHOG00000014657.1)
Source: RNAcentral
GGGACGGCGUGUGUGUGUGUGUGUGUGUGUGUGUGUGUGUGUGUGUGUGUGUGUGUCGCACGCCUUCCAGAAGACACACAACAAAUGCACAGG